GAAAGAGAAGCAAAAAAAGCAGAAAAACUUGCUAAAAAGAAGUAGACGCGAUGCUGUGUUACUUGCUUUUUUAUCUUGCCUUGUUCUCUCUCACACUUUUAAUAAUUUCUUCCCCUAUUUUGUUUGGUUUU
This 131-nucleotide non-coding RNA is filed under the name Palpitomonas bilix. The record is from RNAcentral.